This 303-nucleotide ribosomal RNA is filed under the name uncultured bacterium. RNAcentral's name for it is "partial 16S ribosomal RNA". It matches the Rfam family "Bacterial small subunit ribosomal RNA", at positions 507 to 808 of the family's 1533-position model. The record is from RNAcentral.
AGCAGUCGCCGCGGUAAUACGUAGGUGGCAAGCGUUGUCCGGAUUUAUUGGGCGUAAAGCGAGCGCAGGCGGUUAGAUAAGUCUGAAGUUAAAGGCUGUGGCUUAACCAUAGUACGCUUUGGAAACUGUUUAACUUGAGUGCAAGAGGGGAGAGUGGAAUUCCAUGUGUAGCGGUGAAAUGCGUAGAUAUAUGGAGGAACACCGGUGGCGAAAGCGGCUCUCUGGCUUGUAACUGACGCUGAGGCUCGAAAGCGUGGGGAGCAAACAGGAUUAGAUACCCCAGUAGUCCCUGUCUCUUAUACA